This 253-nucleotide ribosomal RNA is filed under the name uncultured bacterium. RNAcentral describes it as "partial 16S ribosomal RNA". It matches the Rfam family "Bacterial small subunit ribosomal RNA", at positions 524 to 776 of the family's 1533-position model. The record is from RNAcentral.
UACGUAGGGUGCAAGCGUUAAUCGGAAUUACUGGGCGUAAAGCGUGCGCAGGCGGUUUUGUAAGUCAGGUGUGAAAUCCCCGGGCUUAACCUGGGAAUGGCCGUUGAAACUGGCGAACUGGAGUGUGGCAGAGGGGGGUGGAAUUCCGCGUGUAGCAGUGAAAUGCGUAGAGAUGCGGAGGAACACCGAUGGCGAAGGCAGCCCCCUGGGCUGACACUGACGCUCAGGCACGAAAGCGUGGGGAGCAAACAGG